Molecule: ribosomal RNA, 429 nt
Filed under: bacterium
Lineage: Bacteria
Description: partial 16S ribosomal RNA
Rfam family: Bacterial small subunit ribosomal RNA
Source: RNAcentral
UAGGGAAUCUUCCACAAUGGACGCAAGUCUGAUGGAGCAACGCCGCGUGAGUGAAGAAGGUUUUCGGAUCGUAAAGCUCUGUUGUUGGUGAAGAAGGAUAGAGGCAGUAACUGGUCUUCAUUUGACGGUAAUCAACCAGAAAGUCACGGCUAACUACGUGCCAGCAGCCGCGGUAAUACGUAGGUGGCAAGCGUUGUCCGGAUUUAUUGGGCGUAAAGCGAGCGCAGGCGGAAUGAUAAGUCUGAUGUGAAAGCCCACGGCUCAACCGUGGAACUGCAUCGGAAACUGUCAUUCUUGAGUGCAGAAGAGGAGAGUGGAAUUCCAUGUGUAGCGGUGGAAUGCGUAGAUAUAUGGAAGAACACCAGUGGCGAAGGCGGCUCUCUGGUCUGCAACUGACGCUGAGGCUCGAAAGCAUGGGUAGCGAACAGG